GAUGAACGCUGGCGGCGUGCCUAAUACAUGCAAGUCGAGCGAACGGACGAGAAGCUUGCUUUUCUGAUGUUAGCGGCGGACGGGUGAGUAACACGUGGAUAACCUACCUAUAAGACUGGGAUAACCUCGGGAAACCGGAGCUAAUACCGGAUAAUAUUUUGAACCGCAUGGUUCAUAAGUGAAAGACGGUCUUGCUGUCACUUAUAGAUGGAUCCGCGCUGCAUUAGCUAGUUGGUAAGGUAACGGCUUACCAAGGCAACGAUGCAUAGCCGACCUGAGAGGGUGAUCGGCCACACUGGAACUGAGACACGGUCCAGACUCCUACGGGAGGCAGCAGUAGGGAAUCUUCCGCAAUGGGCGAAAGCCUGACGGAGCAACGCCGCGUGAGUGAUGAAGGUCUUCGGAUCGUAAAACUCUGUUAUUAGGGAAGAACAUAUGUGUAAGUAACUGUGCACAUCUUGACGGUACCUAAUCAGAAAGCCACGGCUAACUACGUG
Molecule: ribosomal RNA, 497 nt
Filed under: uncultured bacterium
Lineage: Bacteria
Description: partial 16S ribosomal RNA
Rfam family: Bacterial small subunit ribosomal RNA
Source: RNAcentral